RNAcentral lists this non-coding RNA (30 nucleotides) under Homo sapiens (human). The record is from RNAcentral. Lineage: Eukaryota; Metazoa; Chordata; Mammalia; Primates; Hominidae.
UCCCAAUAAAGCUGAGGGCAUGAAGGCUUA